RNAcentral lists this ribosomal RNA (492 nucleotides) under uncultured bacterium. RNAcentral's name for it is "partial 16S ribosomal RNA". It matches the Rfam family "Bacterial small subunit ribosomal RNA", at positions 29 to 507 of the family's 1533-position model. The record is from RNAcentral.
AGUGAACGCUGGCGGUAGGCCUAACACAUGCAAGUCGAACGGCAGCACAGUAAGAGCUUGCUCUUACGGGUGGCGAGUGGCGGACGGGUGAGGAAUACAUCGGAAUCUACUUUUUCGUGGGGGAUAACGUAGGGAAACUUACGCUAAUACCGCAUACGACCUACGGGUGAAAGCAGGGGAUCUUCGGACCUUGCGCGAUUGAAUGAGCCGAUGUCGGAUUAGCUAGUUGGCGGGGUAAAGGCCCACCAAGGCGACGAUCCGUAGCUGGUCUGAGAGGAUGAUCAGCCACACUGGAACUGAGACACUGUCCAGACUCCUACGGGAGGCAGCAGUGGGGAAUAUUGGACAAUGGGCGCAAGCCUGAUCCAGCCAUACCGCGUGGGUGAAGAAGGCCUUCGGGUUGUAAAGCCCUUUUGUUGGGAAAGAAAAGCAGCGGGUUAAUACCCCGCUGUUCUGACGGUACCCAAAGAAUAAGCACCGGCUAACUUCGUG